Mus musculus (house mouse) is the source of this 5639-nucleotide RNA transcript. It is a transcript of the gene named RIKEN cDNA 2700049A03 gene, with no coding region annotated. The transcript has 29 exons. The record is from RefSeq and is marked validated. NCBI's taxonomy places the organism in Eukaryota, Metazoa, Chordata, Mammalia, Rodentia, Muridae.
ACGGAAUCUGUCGAAAUUUCUAGAAAGCCUAAUAUGCUUAACCUACUAGGUUUCUAACGGUCUGCAGUUCCUACAGUGUAAAUAACCCUUGAUAAACAAAAGUGUUUAUGGGCUAAUCGAGAAUUCGCCAUUCCUCUAGGAAUACUUAGUACUGUGUCCAAACAUAAAGGCGAUAUUCUGCCUUUAAAAAAAAAAAGUCACAUCUCCUGGCAGUCUUUUAUGUUGGGAGUUUGUUUCCACCCGGACACGAAUGGAAGAGCACCAGAGCACUCCCGUUCCGGUCGGGGGGGGGGGGGUUGGAUCUUUGCGCGCAUGCGUGCUGACGCUCAAGGGCGGGUUUUCGGGGAAGACGGUAUUGACCCGCGAACAACCGAAGCUGUUAUUCUAUCAAAAUCAAGACGGCGUGUGUGCCGGACUCUGUGGAGACUCUGAAGACUAAGUUGAGGUGUCCGAAAUUGCGUCCUGACUCGUAGAAAGAAAUCUACUAAGCUCUUAUGAGGGUGGUGUUUUAAAAAACACGAUUUUAACGUUGCCUGCUCGUCUGGGUCUCCUUAACAAAUCCUAACCCCGCCUCCACGUCUGUUGGGGUUUUCAGCUGCAGCUCUGGGUUUGGAGGAGUGCGUUUUUAUUACGGUUCCCGUGGCUUCUCUUUUGCUCUUGGCAUAAUUCCUUUGAAAUUUAUUUCUUCGAUGCAUUAACAGACUCAGUGGGAUCAAGACUUUUUGUUUUGUUUUGUUUUUUGUUUUUGUCGUAUUUAGCCCUGGAUUAAAUGUCAAAAUCGAAAUUUACAGCUUUAUGGAUAUUUUGCCUAUAGACUUUCUAAGUUAAUGACUGCUUCAUAAUUAUUUUUGGAACUCAGGUGUUUUUCAAAUUCACUUCCACCAUUACUUCUUUUCCUGGUACUCAAGGAGAAACUGCGUCCUUAAGUUUUGAGAAGCUAGAAUUCCCUCUGUUAAGAACGGCGGGACUUGAUUUGUGACUAACCAGAUGAAAAACGUUGAGUUUAGCCUGGAAAGGGGGCAAAGGCUUAAAAUGCCAGCGAGGAAACUGCGAGAGAUUGUUUCUCCAAACCAAGGGAAUAAAUUGGCUGUGGUGGAAGAUGAGCUGCCCCGUGUUCCUCCAGCCCUGGCUGCAAAUAAACGUCUUGCUGUUGAAACGAGGACUAGUUCUAAUGGAACGUUAUGUGGCUCCUUGGAUUUAACUUCUGCAAGACUGUAUCACCAGCCUCUGUUAGAAAGUCCUCCUGCGUCCAAGAAAAGUGAUUUUUCUAAAGAUGCUGUAGUUCGGCAGUUACCUUUGAAUAAAACAGAAGAGAACAACGCACCAAAAGCAAAUGACAUCUUUAUUUCUCAGUACACCAUGGGACAGAAAGAUGCUCUGAGAACUGUUUUAAAGCAAAAAGCUCAAAGCAUGCCUGUUUUUAAGGCGGUGAAAGUACAUCUUUUUGAAGACACGAGUACAGAAAAGAAUACUGUUGCUCAGGAGACUGAAACUCCACCCAAUAGAAUUGAUUCAGCUACAACUGUGGCUGCGGCAACUGCCGCUGCCAUCGCAACAGCAGCUCCUUUGAUCAAGGUACAGAGUGAUUUGGAGGCAAAGGUUAAUUGUGUUGGAGAGUUACUUACUAAGUUACAGGAGACUGAUAAACAGUUACAGCGCGUGACAGAGCACCAAGCCAGCGUUCAGAGUAAGCAAGAGAAAGUGCACUGUCAUGACCACGACAAGCAGAUGAACGCGUUCAUGGAGCAGCAUAUCAGGCACCUUGAAAAACUACAGCAACAGCAGAUAGACAUUCAGACCCAUUUUAUUGAUGCUGCACUCAAGGCUAGCAGUCUUCAACUUGGCAUGUCCACGUCCAGAGCAGUGGGGAAGUAUUCUGGAAAACUGGGAAGCCCUAGUGUUGGGAGCAGUGUUUUUUCACACAACACAUUUGUUUCUAAACGAGUGCCUUUAAGUGAAGACACAGAUUUUGAUGGGCAGAAAUCUCCUUUAGAGACCCCAGCACCUCGCAGGUUUGCCCCUGUACCUGUUUCAAGGGAUGGAAAAAUAACAAAAAGGGAAAGCCCUACAGAAGAAAAAGAAAAUAUGGAAAUGAACAGUCCUAAAGGAAAUGUAAGACUGUUGGAACAAGUACUGAAUAGUAAUGAGUGUUUGACAAGAAAGACUGAAUCAUCAGAUAUAACCUCACUAACUCAGCCAAAAAUGGGAUGGAAUUUAGAGAAAAGAGACAGCACUGAAACUCUACAUUCACAAAUAUUUCCUUCCUCUGAAGAGCGGGGAACAGCUCAAGUACCCGUGCCGAAGUAUAAUGAUGUUGUUCAUGAUCUUGGCCAGAAGAAACAAGCAAGUGACAUGCUCCAGAUAAAGCAAUCUCCAGUUACCUUGAGGCUUUCAGAUCAUCCGCAUAAUCCUGCCUUGCUCCAGACAACCAAUACAAGGUCUGUCUUGAAAGAUGCUGCGAAGAUUCUGAGAGGAGUACAAAACAAUAAAAAAGUACUAGAAGAAAACCUGGAAGCUAUCGUUCGUGCAAAGGAUGGAGCUGCUAUGUAUUCAUUUAUCAAUGCUUUAGCUACCAAUAGAGAGAUGUCAGAGAAAAUUAGGAUCAGAAAGCAGGUAGAUGAAUGGAUUAAAAUCAUUUCAGCAGAAAUCCAGGAUGAACUUAUGAGAAAAGAUUAUGAACAAAAGAGAUUUGAUCCAAAGAAUCAAAGAAACAAGAAAGCUCUAACUAUGAGUAGAGAUAUUAAAGCCAAUAACCAAGAAAAAACGGUGAACAGAUCUGUAAUUCCAAGAAGCCAUUAUCAAAAGCAAACCCAGGAGCAGUUUACAAGUCCACCUGUGAGGAACUUGCCUGCCUCCGGCCCGCAGAAAGAGAGGAGUGGCCUCUUGAAGUCAGCCACAACGUUGCAAGACGAGGAUUAUAUGUUACAGAUAUAUGGGAAGCCAGUUUAUCAGGGCCACCGCAGCACUCUUAAGAAAGGACCGUAUCUCAGAUUCAGUUCUCCGUCUCCUAAGGCCAAGCCACAGAGGCCAAGGGUGAUAGAGCUAGUGAAAGGCACUAAAGUCAAGUCAGCAAAAACACAAACUGACUUUCAUGCUGCAUCACGUAUGAAAAUGGAUUCUAAAAUACAGCAUCCCAUCACCGCACUACCUCAUGCUGAUCAGCAGUAUAUGGUCAGCCCAAGCAGAGAAAUGCCUACUGUUUCAGGUACCCUGGAAGGUCAUCUAAUUCCUAUGGCAAUCCUCUUAGGACAAACCCAAAGCAAUAGUGACUCCAUGCCACCUGCUGGAGUCACUGUAAACAAGCCACGCCCCGUGACUGUGACCACUUCUAUUCCUCCGGCAUCUCGAAAAGGGAACGCUGGAGUCAAGAAACCCAACGUAGCCAUUGUAGAGAUGAAAUCAGAGAAGAAGGACCCUCCCCAGCUCUCUGUACAGAUAUUACCUAGUGUGGAUAUUGAUAGCGUUUCAUACAGCAGUACUGACGGGGCUUCCUCUCCACCAAGUCCCAAAGAAGCCUCUCUUCCUCCACUGCACACCUGGAUCCAGACUCCAGACUUUAUGAAGGUGGAUGAAGAAGAGGUGCCCCUUCCAGGAACUAACUUUGAUGAAGUAAUCGAUGUUAUUCAGGAAGAAGAAAAACGUGAUGAAAUUCCUGAAUGCUCUGCACCAAUGUUGGAGUUUAACAGAAGUGUUAAAGUUGUUCCUACAAAAUAUAAUGGUCCUUCAUUUCCUCCUGUAGUUUCUGCUUACCAUCCCACUACUGAUAUUUUAGAUAAAGUAAUUGAGAGAAAAGAAACAUUGGAAAAUAGUUUAAUUCAGUGUUGCAGGAACAAGCAGUGGAGCGCUCCAGCGUAUGGUUGAUGCCAGAGUUCCUGUGAACUCGGACAUGGUCAGCCAUUUUGUCAAUGAAGCUCUGACUGAGACCAUUGCUGUCAUGUUAGCUGACAGAGAAGCAGAGAGGCAAAGGGCUGCUGCCACAAGUGUUCCUGGUGAUCUUUCAGGAACUGAAACUAACCUGUUGGCAAGAGUUUGUGCUCCAGUAGCGACGCCGCAGCCCACUCCCCCCUGCUCACCAUCACCUGUGAGGGAGCACGUGCGAGUGAAAACGCCAGACUCUUCUCCCUGUGAAUCCGAUCCAGAUGCGGCUUCUUCUAUAAAAGAGAUACGCGUUGAAAAAGGAAGUGAUAUGCCUGCUGUCAUGCUUGUUAGUACACCAACACGCACUCCUGUCGCUACCCCUCCUCCAGCAGCAGCUCUUACCCCAACUUUGUCCGAAACUUCCAUUGACAAGUUGAAGUUAUCAAGCCCUGAACUUCCCAAGCCAUGGGACAGUGGAGACCUGCCACUGGAUGAAGAGAAUCCUAACUCUCUUCAAGAGCUUCCUCACCCAAGAGCGGUUGUAAUGUCUGUGGCUAAUGAAGAACCUGAGAGUGUGGACUUUUCUGCUCAGCCUGCACCUCCGGAGCCAGCUCCCUCAGCACCACUUCCUGAGGGCACCAAGGCCCCUUCCCUCCAGCGAGUACCAAGUUCAGGUUCAUCCACCCUGGAGAACACUCUGAGCACUGUCACUGAAACAGAAACGCUAGACAGGCAUAUAUCUGAAGGGGAGAUCUUAUUUAGCUGUGGUCAAAACUUGGCUACCAAGAGACCUGGGGACUUGUUUCUGAUGAACAUAAAUGACAGCUUAUCCAGCACUCUGCAGGAUGCCCUUGAAAUGGAAGAUGACCCUCCCAGUGAAGGGCAGGUGAUUAGGAGGCCCCACAAAAAGCGUCAUGAAGAUGCCAUCGUUGCCCUUCUUACUAAGCAACAACGGGAGUUAUUAGUUUCACAGCAAGAGGAGGACUUGGAUAACAGCGUGGGUGAGCUUAGUGAAGGACAGAGGCUCGUGCUGAAAGCAGCAGAGGACAUCUCAGCAGGACCGUCCGGCCAAAUGCUGCCGCCCACUUCUCCUGCAGAGCCCUCCUAUCAGCACGCAGACCCUCGGCUGGUAUUGCAGCAGUCUGACAUGGCCUCAGGUAAUAUUUGUGAAGAUUUAUGUGCCAGUCAUGGUCCAAUGAGCUUAAGGGAGCUGGAGUUGCAGCCUGAUUCUAACCUUAUUCUUCCCAUAACACACACUACAACAGCAGUCAGCGAUGGUAAUUUACCAGAAGCAGCUGAAGAUUUUUCUCAGUACCAACAAAAGCAAGAUUCAGACAUUAAACAAGUUGAACACAAGCCAAUACAAAGACAUCUAACCAGUGUAAGAAAUAAACCUGACAGUACACUUUCACAGCAUCAAGGUGGCCCGGCAGAUCUGCUCCUCAUUGCACAUGUGUCACCCGCCAGGAUGUCUGUGACUCUACCCUCUGCGAACCUUGAGGACUGCUCUCAGUCCCUGAGCACCAGCUCCAUGCAUGGCGGCACCGAAUCCUCAGGGACAGACACCUUCUGAGCAGGAGGAGAGCAGCACAAGGUUCAUGAAGACUCAUGAAGGCUUACAAGGUUCAUGAAGACAUGUCACUCUGGCUGCAGACCAUGUCUGUAUACUGUUGGCCUUUGAACAUAUUUUUAGGGGAAAUAUUUCUAAUAUAUUAUUAAGACAAAAGUGUCCUUUGAAUAUUUAGUAAGGCUUUUAAAUAAAGUAGAUAUAACUCAACUAA